RNAcentral lists this ribosomal RNA (264 nucleotides) under uncultured bacterium. Its description in RNAcentral is "partial 16S ribosomal RNA". It matches the Rfam family "Bacterial small subunit ribosomal RNA", at positions 793 to 1055 of the family's 1533-position model. The record is from RNAcentral.
GUCCACGCUGUAAACGAUGGAUGCUAGACGUGGUGGGUCUUGACCCCUACCGUGUCGAAGUUAACACGAUAAGCAUCCCGCCUGGGGAGUACGGUCGCAAGACUAAAACUCAAAGGAAUUGACGGGGGCCCGCACAAGCAGUGGAUCAUGUGGUUUAAUUCGAAGCAACGCGAAGAACCUUACCUGGGUUUGACAUCCUUUGAAUAUUUUAGAGAUAAAAUAGGCUCGCAAGAGACAAAGAGACAGGUGCUGCAUGGCUGUCGU